This 274-nucleotide ribosomal RNA is filed under the name uncultured bacterium. RNAcentral describes it as "partial 16S ribosomal RNA". It matches the Rfam family "Bacterial small subunit ribosomal RNA", at positions 523 to 796 of the family's 1533-position model. The record is from RNAcentral.
AUACGGAGGAUGCAAGCGUUACUCGGAAUCACUGGGCGUAAAGCGCGCGCAGGCGGCUUGAUAAGUUGGAUGUGAAAGCCUACGGCUCAACCGUAGAACUGCAUCCAAAACUGUCAAGCUAGAGUCUGGGAGGGGAAGAUGGAAUUAGUUGUGUAGGGGUAAAAUCCGUAGAGAUAACUAGGAAUACCAAAAGCGAAGGCGAUCUUCUGGGACAGUACUGACGCUGAGGCGCGAAAGCGUGGGGAGCAAACAGGAUUAGAAACCCGAGUAGUCC